UGGGGAAUUUUGGACAAUGGGCGAAGCCUGAUCCAGCAAUGCCGCGUGUGUGAAGAAGGCCUUCGGGUUGUAAAGCACUUUUGUCCGGAAAGAAAUCCUUGGCUCUAAUACAGUCGGGGGAUGACGGUACCGGAAGAAUAAGCACCGGCUAACUACGUGCCAGCAGCCGCGGUAAUACGUAGGGUGCAAGCGUUAAUCGGAAUUACUGGGCGUAAGCGUGCGCAGGCGGUUUGCUAAGACCGAUGUGAAAUCCCCGGGCUCAACCUGGGAACUGCAUUGGUGACUGGCAGGCUAGAGUAUGGCAGGAGGGGGGUAGAAUUCCACGUGUAGCAGUGAAAUGCGUAGAGAUGUGGAGGAAUACCGAUGGCGAAGGCAGCCCCCCUGGGGCCAAUACUGACGCUCAUGCACGAAAGCGUGGGGGAGC
Molecule: ribosomal RNA, 424 nt
Filed under: uncultured bacterium
Lineage: Bacteria
Description: partial 16S ribosomal RNA
Rfam family: Bacterial small subunit ribosomal RNA
Source: RNAcentral